CCUUGUUACUUUCCUUCUGUAAAAACUAAAGCCAGGAAUCAUUUUAAGUGAAUCGAUUGAAUACAGCUAGUGGAAACAUAAAAAGAUGGCAGUUAAACAGUAAGAAAGCAUCUGGCAUAAAUUAAGUGAACAGAUUUCCAAACCAUUUGAAAAACAACACAUGUAUUUGGCACUGGUUUUGGCAUUUGGAGGGAACACACUUAAAAGUAAGAGUCUGCAUCCAAGAAACUUACAUUCUGAGAGAGAAGAUAAGAAAAUUAAGCUGAACACGCCAAGACCCAAGGAGCCCAGGGCAGGCUGUGCAGCACACCCUGUGCCCCAACCACACUGCUUCCUCUUCUGAAUGUCUGCACCCCCAAGUUUGGUUCAUUUUGAGCUUCAGGUGUGGUCUCAUUUCUUUGGCACUCCUCUCCAAUCAAAAGAUCUCAGUUUCAAAAAACUGUGAGCAUAUUCAAUGAUUAAAAAGUCUGUUUGACAAUAAUCUGCAAAUUUGCCACAUAAAGCAUGAACUUUGCUUCAUAAAGCUUAAUUCCAGCUGCUGAAAGUUGUCCUGCCCUUUCUUUAUGGGGUCUCCAAAGAGAAGCUUGUUUUAUGUCACAUUAUUUUCUCCCCUCUUUAUGGGCCAGAUUCAAUUAGUCACUACUUGGCUAUUGAACACUUUUUGCAAAUUAAAGAGAAAGUCACCUCAGGCAACUUAAAAAUAGAGGCUUAUUGGGAACUUGAUGAUACUGCAACUCAUUAAAGAACUUAGGUCCUAUACCCCUGACCUCACUGAUCAAAUAGAGGCCACUGCUUUGAAGCCAGCAAGGACCCAUGGGACUGACCUAAUGCUUCUUGCCUUCAGCUUCUGGAGCUUAUCACAUUACUAAUGUUUGAGUCUCUAAUCCAGCUGGCUAGUUUAAUCAUCUUGAAGUAAAAUAAUACUAUUAA
Saimiri boliviensis boliviensis (Bolivian squirrel monkey) is the source of this 930-nucleotide non-coding RNA. The record is from RefSeq and is a predicted model, not a curated record. NCBI's taxonomy places the organism in Eukaryota, Metazoa, Chordata, Mammalia, Primates, Cebidae.